Neotoma lepida (desert woodrat) is the source of this 478-nucleotide long non-coding RNA. It matches the Rfam family "Vax2os1 conserved region 2". Lineage: Eukaryota; Metazoa; Chordata; Mammalia; Rodentia; Cricetidae. The record is from Rfam.
CUCCCUGCAGAUCCCUCGAGCCUGCCUCUGCCAAGGACCUUGACCUAGCAGGGACUUGGUCGCCACGCUUAGCUCCCCCUGACCUGCUUUUGAACCCGCUAAUCCCACCCCAACUCUUUGCCCGACGUUCGCUCCACGCGCUAAUUCCCGCUGGCCCCGCAACCCCCACUCCCUCUCGGCCCAAGAGACUCUGCAGGGCACCACCAGGGCUCCACACGGUGUCCCCGACUCACGCUCGAACUCCCCACCAAAGCAAACGGCCUCAGCUACAAACAUCUCUCUUCUUGGCUCCCCUUAAUUUAAUUCGUUAAAAAAAAAUAAUAGCCGUACACAUAUCACAGUCUUCUGUAACAGCAACGAAUCUGGCAAACUGGCGGUGCAAGGGAGCAGUGGUCACCGUGGCUAGUCAGCGACAGAGCCUGGGAAGGGGAAGGUUCCCCCACCAAAGCCAGAAGGACUGGAAGAAACGCAGACCCAG